GAAUUGCCUUUCACCUCCUGCCAUGAUUCUGAGGCCUCCAGCCAUGUGGAACUGGAGAAGGGAGAUGAAAUAAUACCAGCAUCCUGAACCUGAAUGUCCAGCUUCGACUUGUUCUUCGUGGAUUAUAAGACCAUUGAUUAAAUAAAUCCUUUCAUCAAAAUUAUCUU
This is a long non-coding RNA of Gorilla gorilla gorilla (western lowland gorilla), 167 nucleotides long. RefSeq lists it as uncharacterized. Lineage: Eukaryota; Metazoa; Chordata; Mammalia; Primates; Hominidae. The record is from RefSeq and is a predicted model, not a curated record. The transcript has 2 exons.